Molecule: long non-coding RNA, 517 nt
Filed under: Pan troglodytes (chimpanzee)
Lineage: Eukaryota; Metazoa; Chordata; Mammalia; Primates; Hominidae
Description: long non-coding RNA NONPTRT005450
Source: RNAcentral
CGGUCAACUGUUUUCCCCUACCUACACUACUUGGAGGAAAGAUAAAACUCAGAAGGAAUCUUAGCUUCCUCCAUCUAAAAGGAUUGGAGCUGAAGAAUACAUGCUACAGAUGCUCAGAAUCUUUCUAUGAGACUGCUGGUGACACGAACAGAGCAGGAGGGCAUGGGGCCUUGGAUGACCUUGAAUUCCUGGCUGUCUUCUGUGGACUCCCAUGCAGAUUCCAGUUUCCAGCAUACCCAUGGCUUUCUGAUGGAGAAGACUCAGUGAAGCUGCGUCACUUAUGCAGCUCCAGGUGGCGGUCACUCGGCUCAAGGUGGUGGAGUUGGAACUCAGACCUAUGUCACCGUGACAAGCCCUGGACUCCGGUGCGGCUGGGCCUGGGGCUACCUGAAGGGAGAGCAGAGACUCAGGUGCCCGGUGAGCAAUGGCAGUGAGGAGAAGCAGAGAGCAACGCCAGCAAGCAACGCCUCCUGCCCCUGCUUUUGCUCUUGUGUCUCUUGACCCUGUGAGGUCCAGC